AGCGAACGCUGGCGGCAGGCCUAACACAUGCAAGUCGAACGACCUCUUCGGAGUUGGUGGCUGACGGGUGUGUAACGCGUGGGAAGGUGCCGUUAGGCUCGGGAUAACACUGGUUCACUUGUGCUAAUACCGAGUGUGCUAUUCGGGUGCAAGAUAUAUCGCAAUUGGAGAGGCCCGCGUCUUUUUAACUUGGUGGGGAGGUAAGGGCGCACCAAGGCGACGCUCGGUAGCUGGGCAGAGAGGCAGACCAGCCACACUUGGACGGGGACCCGGCGCAGAAUACUACGGGAGGGAGGAGUGGGUGAUCUUGCGCAACGGGGGAAAGCCUGAAGCAGCCAUGCCGGGUGAAUGAUGAAGGUCUUAGGAUUGUAAAAUUCUUUCACCGGGGACGAUAAUGACGGUACCCGAAGAAGAAGCCCCGGCUAACUUCGUG
Molecule: ribosomal RNA, 433 nt
Filed under: uncultured bacterium
Lineage: Bacteria
Description: partial 16S ribosomal RNA
Rfam family: Bacterial small subunit ribosomal RNA
Source: RNAcentral